CGGACGGGUGAGUAAUGUCUGGGAAACUGCCUGAUGGAGGGGGAUAACUACUGGAAACGGUAGCUAAUACCGCAUAACGUCGCAAGACCAAAGAGGGGGACCUUCGGGCCUCUUGCCAUCGGAUGUGCCCAGAUGGGAUUAGCUAGUAGGUGGGGUAACGGCUCACCUAGGCGACGAUCCCUAGCUGGUCUGAGAGGAUGACCUGCCACACUGGAACUGAGACACGGUCCAG
This 232-nucleotide ribosomal RNA is filed under the name uncultured bacterium. Its description in RNAcentral is "partial 16S ribosomal RNA". It matches the Rfam family "Bacterial small subunit ribosomal RNA", at positions 99 to 334 of the family's 1533-position model. The record is from RNAcentral.